AGGUGCUGCAUGGCUGUCGUCAGCUCGUGUCGUGAGAUGUUCGGUUAAGUCCGCUAACGAGCGCAACCCUUGCUGUGUGUUACAUGUGUCACACGGGACUGCCGGUCUUAAACCGGAGGAAGGUGGGGAUGACGUCAAGUCAGCAUGGCCUUUAUGUCCUGGGCUACACACACGCUACAAUGGCCGGUACAAUAGGUUGCGAAGCCGCGAGGCGGAGCCAAUCCUCAAAGCCGGCCUCAGUUCAGAUUGCAGGCUGCAACCCGCCUGCAUGAAGAUGGAGUUGCUAGUAACCGCAGGUCAGCUAUACUGCGGUGAAUACGUUCCCGGGGCUU
This 332-nucleotide ribosomal RNA is filed under the name uncultured Levilinea sp. Its description in RNAcentral is "bacterial SSU rRNA". It matches the Rfam family "Bacterial small subunit ribosomal RNA", at positions 1036 to 1382 of the family's 1533-position model. Lineage: Bacteria; Bacillati; Chloroflexota; Anaerolineae; Anaerolineales; Anaerolineaceae. The record is from RNAcentral.